Molecule: long non-coding RNA, 421 nt
Filed under: Anser brachyrhynchus (Pink-footed goose)
Lineage: Eukaryota; Metazoa; Chordata; Aves; Anseriformes; Anatidae
Description: lncRNA (ENSABRG00000013729.1)
Source: RNAcentral
AGCUGUGCAGCUGCCAAACCGGUCUGCUUUGCCCAGCGCCUGUCUCCAGCCCUUCCCUCUUUCCCAUCUUAGCUCUUAUUUACUUUUUUUUUUUUGUUUUCUUCCUUAGGAUUCACCAUGUUUUUAUGUUUUGCUCUCAUAUCCCGUAAUCAAGAGGAAGGCCCCGGUGUGGAUAGAGGGGAUUUGUACUCAGCCUUUGUUUGAUGUUUGCUUGUUCCUAGUGGUGCUGCCUGGAUCAUGCACAGUCAAGGCUGGGGAAAUUUCUCCGUGUCAGCCUGGUGAGGGACAGCCAUGCAGCCUGAGGAGACCAGCUUCCAGGAGGAAAAAUGAUGCUCAAGCUGUCACUUGCUGUAUGCAAAUGUAUCAGUAUCUUGUUUCAGGUACUUCACAGAUACCUUGGACUCUUCUGCUGGGACUGUGA